This is an RNA transcript of Dioscorea cayenensis subsp. rotundata (Guinea yam), 544 nucleotides long. RefSeq lists it as uncharacterized. Lineage: Eukaryota; Viridiplantae; Streptophyta; Magnoliopsida; Dioscoreales; Dioscoreaceae. The transcript is spliced from 4 exons. The record is from RefSeq and is a predicted model, not a curated record.
AGAGGGGGUUUUCUGUAAAAAAAACAGCGUCUUCGUUCGUCUGAAGCAAAAGGAAAAGGGGAGAAAUGGGGCGGACGCCCAGGCCAGUGGUGGAUGAUGAGUAUGAGAGUGAAGAACAGAAGCAAGCUGCUGCUGAUGUUCUUUACCAAUAUUCACAAUUUGUAAUGGUAUGCAUUGGGGAGGGAGUUCGGCCUACUGAUUUGAGGUUACACUUGAUGAAGGAAAUUUCUGGAAUGCCAACAUCCUUAAAGGAAGCACAACAACAAAUAUCAACUCCUCCAGAUUCCACUAGUGAACCUUCUUCCUCAGGCACAUCAAAAGGAGAGAAAUUUGGAACAUCUUAAACAUCUUGUAAACAAAUAAUCCAUCUGCGACUAUUAUCCAUGUAUUUUUGGUACACUCUCCUGGCAAAGCAAUGUCAGUAACCAGCAAGUGCGUUGCACCCCACCGUUCUUUUUGCAGCUUUGGAUUCAAAGGCACAGCCCACUUGGCUCAGUGGCAGAGUGGAUUAUUUUGUCUUUUAUUUCUCCAUUUCAAAAGGUUG